RNAcentral lists this ribosomal RNA (265 nucleotides) under uncultured bacterium. RNAcentral's name for it is "partial 16S ribosomal RNA". It matches the Rfam family "Bacterial small subunit ribosomal RNA", at positions 101 to 339 of the family's 1533-position model. The record is from RNAcentral.
CUUGCUUUCCCGCUGACGACCGGCGAAACGGGUGCGUAACACGUAUGCAACUUACCCUCUACAGGGGGAUAGCCCAGAGAAAUCUGGAUUAAUACCCCAUAACAUCAUUGAAUCGCAUGGUUUGAUGAUUAAAGCUUUGGCGGUAGAGGAUGGGCAUGCGCCCCCAUUAGCUUGUUGGUGAGGUAACGGCUCACCAAGGCUACGAUGGGUAGCGGGUCUGAGAGGAUGAUCCGCCACACUGGUACUGAGACACGGACCAGACUCC